RNAcentral lists this non-coding RNA (24 nucleotides) under Arabidopsis thaliana (thale cress). The record is from RNAcentral. Lineage: Eukaryota; Viridiplantae; Streptophyta; Magnoliopsida; Brassicales; Brassicaceae.
UACGGAGUAAGUGGUGGUAGAGAA